GCCUUGCUGCGUUGCGGUCAAUUGUACCAAUAGAACAAAAAAAGGCGCUCGAUUAUUUAUGUUUCCUGCGGAUGAUGUUCGUCGACAGCAAUGGAUAUAUAAUCUCCGCAGAGAGUCUUGAACACCAACCAAAUCAUUGUACCUCUGUGAAAAACAUUUUGAAGAAUUACAGUUUGAGACUGGUCGAGCAGAUAAUUGGCGAAAAUUAAAACCAAACGCCAUACCAACACUUUUCGAUAUACCGGAUUCAUAUACCGGAUAAGUUUCUAUGAUACAUUACAGUAAGGUGGAUCAGGUAUAUCGAAAAGUGUUGGUAUGGCGUUUGGUUUAAUUUUCGCCAAUUAUCUGCUCGACCAGUCUCAAACUGUGAUUCU
Non-coding RNA from Linepithema humile (Argentine ant), 374 nucleotides. The record is from RefSeq and is a predicted model, not a curated record. NCBI's taxonomy places the organism in Eukaryota, Metazoa, Arthropoda, Insecta, Hymenoptera, Formicidae.